AUAGCCAUCCUGCUGUCUACAUCUGGCUUGCUAAUGGGGAGAAACAUUCACAAAUCAAUGAUCAAUUAUCCUUUAACAUAUGAGUAUACAAGAACAGAGGUCCUAUACACUUUUGGAAUACCAAGUACCCUUGGCUUGGAUACAUUAGUUGAGACUUAUUCAAUAAGUCAUGGUUAUAUUGACCAGAGCUUUAGUACAUUCCCAAACAUAAAACAUCAUUUACUAAUUCUAGUCGAUUCUAACUGCUUUAAUGCUCGACUGUAAAGUAUUUGAGAACACAUGAAAAAACAUGUAUCUUACUAAAAAAUAAUUAUAAAUAAAUGUUCACCCUGUA
Long non-coding RNA from Nematostella vectensis (starlet sea anemone), 334 nucleotides. RefSeq lists it as uncharacterized. The record is from RefSeq and is a predicted model, not a curated record. Lineage: Eukaryota; Metazoa; Cnidaria; Anthozoa; Actiniaria; Edwardsiidae. The transcript is spliced from 2 exons.